GACGAACGCUGGCGGCGUGCUUAACACAUGCAAGUCGAACGAUGACGACCGAGCUUGCUCGGUCUGAUUAGUGGCGAACGGGUGAGUAACACGUGAGCAACCUGCCCUUCACUCUGGGAUAACCCCGGGAAAUCGGGGCUAAUACCGGAUAUGAGCUCCUGUCGCAUGGCGGGUGUUGGAAAGUUUUUCGGUGAAGGAUGGGCUCGCGGCCUAUCAGUUUGUUGGUGAGGUAGUGGCUCACCAAGGCGCUGCCGGGUAGCCGGCCUGAGAGGGCGACCGGCCACACUGGGACUGAGACACGGCCCAGACUCCUACGGGAGGCAGCAGUGGGGAAUAUUGCACAAUGGGCGAAAGCCUGAUGCAGAGACGCCGCGUGAGGGAUGACGGCCUUCGGGUUGUAAACCUCUUUCAGCAGGGAAGAAGCGAAAGUGACGGUACCUGCAGAAGAAGCGCCGGCUAACUACGUG
Molecule: ribosomal RNA, 467 nt
Filed under: uncultured bacterium
Lineage: Bacteria
Description: partial 16S ribosomal RNA
Rfam family: Bacterial small subunit ribosomal RNA
Source: RNAcentral